UGGUUUCUUUGUUGUCUGACUCGUAAUCAAAGCAAAGCUUGCAGCAAAGUUGGCAAUCACAUAAUCAAUAUAUUCAAUUAUACAUAUUUAAAGCCUUUUGUUCUUAUGUGCAGGUCUUGAACGGGGCUACUCGAGAAGUGACUUGCUGCCAUACAUCAUACAGACGAAAGGCAGACAUAUUUUCCUGGGACUACUCUGGUUCGUGCAAUCCUUUGUGUCAACUAGCCCUCUCCAUUCACGGUGGGUCGUAAGCUUCGGCAUUCAUUGUCUCCAUCACUCGGGCACCCUUGCAAUCAUCUUGUGCAGGUAUUUGAAUAAUUAUCAUCUUCUCUGUGCUUUUUGUUGGCUGCUGCAGUCUUAACUUGCAUAUUGUGAGCCACUUUGCUUCCGAACAUGAUUUUGUCGACUUCUUUGAUGCAGGUGGAGUAACAUGUUGACUUUGGCGCUGCAUAAAGAUCCCUCCGGAGCAGUUUCUUCACUUUGACGCACCGCGAUACAGGCAUCAGAAACAAGUGCAGUGAACCCCUUUUGAAUUUGAACCUUGCUUCCGCCACCUAUACGCAGGACGCACCGCAAUAUAGGCAUCGAAAGCAAGUGCAGCGAAAUUACACAGAACAGUAAGGGAUUUGAGGCUUUGUGAGCUGUGACCCUGUUGUUGGUAAUCUUUGGCUGAAGUGGU
Molecule: long non-coding RNA, 679 nt
Organism: Rosa chinensis
Lineage: Eukaryota; Viridiplantae; Streptophyta; Magnoliopsida; Rosales; Rosaceae
Exons: 4
Source: RefSeq, a predicted model, not a curated record